AAAAUGUAAUUAAUACAAAGAACUGUGUGUUAAAUUUUGAAAACCAAUGUUAUUGAAUAACUUAAUUUAUGUAUAUAUUUUAUUUGUUAAAAAAAAAACUAGUCUUCAAUUAUGUAUCAGUUUCGUAAAAAGUAUUUUAUAAUGACUACAACACAAAUUGUUAAAAUAAAUCUAUUGGUCUAUAGUAUGGUGUACUAAAAUAUAUUAGGCUGGUGUUAA
Non-coding RNA from Cinara cedri, 219 nucleotides. NCBI's taxonomy places the organism in Eukaryota, Metazoa, Arthropoda, Insecta, Hemiptera, Aphididae. The record is from the annotation of a GenBank genome assembly.